GGGCCCGCACAAGCGGUGGUGCAUGUGGUUCAAUUCGACGCAACGCGAAGAACCUUACCCAGAUUUGACAUGCUCGUAGUAAGAACCGGAAACGGGGAUGAGUCCGCAAGGACAGCGAGCACAGGUGCUGCAUGGCUGUCGUCAGCUCGUGCCGUGAGGUGUUGGGUUAAGUCCCGCAACGAGCGCAACCCUUGUCUCCAGUUGCCAACGGGUCAAGCCGGGAACUCUGGAGAGACUGCCCAGGAUAACGGGGAGGAAGGUGGGGAUGACGUCAAGUCAGCAUGGCCUUUAUAUCUGGGGCUACACACGUGCAACAAUGGCCGGUACAAAGGGCUGCAAACCCGUAAGGGGAAGCCAAUCCCAGAAAACCGGCCUCAGUUCAGAUUGAGGUCUGCAACUCGACCUCAUGAAGGAGGAAUCGCUAGUAAUCGCGGAUCAGCACGCCGCGGUGAAUACGUUCCCGGGCCUU
This 469-nucleotide ribosomal RNA is filed under the name uncultured bacterium. RNAcentral describes it as "bacterial SSU rRNA". It matches the Rfam family "Bacterial small subunit ribosomal RNA", at positions 917 to 1382 of the family's 1533-position model. The record is from RNAcentral.